RNAcentral lists this ribosomal RNA (508 nucleotides) under uncultured bacterium. RNAcentral describes it as "partial 16S ribosomal RNA". It matches the Rfam family "Bacterial small subunit ribosomal RNA", at positions 30 to 523 of the family's 1533-position model. The record is from RNAcentral.
AUUGAACGCUGGCGGCAUGCCUUACACAUGCAAGUCGAACGGCAGCGGGGGAGAAGCUUGCUUUUCCUGCCGGCGAGUGGCGAACGGGUGAGUAAUACAUCGGAACGUGCCCUGUAGUGGGGGAUAACUAGUCGAAAGAUUAGCUAAUACCGCAUACGACCUGAGGGUGAAAGUGGGGGACCGCAUGGCCUCAUGCUCUAGGAGCGGCUGAUGGCGGAUUAGCUAGUUGGUGGGGUAAAGGCCUACCAAGGCGACGAUCAGUAGCUGGUCUGAGAGGACGAUCAGCCACACUGGGACUGAGACACGGCCCAGACUCCUACGGGAGGCAGCAGUGGGGAAUUUUGGACAAUGGGCGAAAGCCUGAUCCAGCAAUGCCGCGUGUGUGAAGAAGGCCCUCGGGUUGUAAAGCACUUUUGUCCGGAAAGAAAUGGCUCUGGUUAAUACCUGGGGUCGAUGACGGUACCGGAAGAAUAAGGACCGGCUAACUACGUGCCAGCCGCCGCAGUAA